GAUUAAGUUAUUAAGGGCGCACGGUGGAUGCCUUGGCACUAGAAGCCGAUGAAGGACGUUACUAACGACGAUAUGCUUUGGGGAGCUGUAAGUAAGCUUUGAUCCAGAGAUUUCCGAAUGGGGAAACCCAGCAUGAGUUAUGUCAUGUUAUCGAUAUGUGAAUACAUAGCAUAUCAGAAGGCACACCCGGAGAACUGAAACAUCUUAGUACCCGGAGGAAGAGAAAGAAAAUUCGAUUCCCUUAGUAGCGGCGAGCGAAACGGGAAGAGCCCAAACCAACAAGCUUGCUUGUUGGGGUUGUAGGACACUCUAUACGGAGUUACAAAGGACGACAUUAGACGAAUCAUCUGGAAAGAUGAAUCAAAGAAGGUAAUAAUCCUGUAGUCGAAAAUGUUGUCUCUCUUGAGUGGAUCCUGAGUACGACGGAGCACGUGAAAUUCCGUCGGAAUCUGGGAGGACCAUCUCCUAAGGCUAAAUACUCUCUAGUGACCGAUAGUGAACCAGUACCGUGAGGGAAAGGUGAAAAGCACCCCGGAAGGGGAGUGAAAUAGAACCUGAAACCGUGUGCUUACAAGUAGUCAGAGCCCGUUAAUGGGUGAUGGCGUGCCUUUUGUAGAAUGAACCGGCGAGUUACGAUUUGAUGCAAGGUUAAGCAGUAAAUGUGGAGCCGUAGCGAAAGCGAGUCUGAAUAGGGCGUUUAGUAUUUGGUCGUAGACCCGAAACCAGGUGAUCUACCCUUGGUCAGGUUGAAGUUCAGGUAACACUGAAUGGAGGACCGAACCGACUUACGUUGAAAAGUGAGCGGAUGAACUGAGGGUAGCGGAGAAAUUCCAAUCGAACCUGGAGAUAGCUGGUUCUCUCCGAAAUAGCUUUAGGGCUAGCCUCAAGUGAUGAUUAUUGGAGGUAGAGCACUGUUUGGACGAGGGGCCCCUCUCGGGUUACCGAAUUCAGACAAACUCCGAAUGCCAAUUAAUUUAACUUGGGAGUCAGAACAUGGGUGAUAAGGUCCGUGUUCGAAAGGGAAACAGCCCAGACCACCAGCUAAGGUCCCAAAAUAUAUGUUAAGUGGAAAAGGAUGUGGCGUUGCCCAGACAACUAGGAUGUUGGCUUAGAAGCAGCCAUCAUUUAAAGAGUGCGUAAUAGCUCACUAGUCGAGUGACACUGCGCCGAAAAUGUACCGGGGCUAAACAUAUUACCGAAGCUGUGGAUUGUCCUUUGGACAAUGGUAGGAGAGCGUUCUAAGGGCGUUGAAGCAUGAUCGCAAGGACAUGUGGAGCGCUUAGAAGUGAGAAUGCCGGUGUGAGUAGCGAAAGACGGGUGAGAAUCCCGUCCACCGAUUGACUAAGGUUUCCAGAGGAAGGCUCGUCCGCUCUGGGUUAGUCGGGUCCUAAGCUGAGGCCGACAGGCGUAGGCGAUGGAUAACAGGUUGAUAUUCCUGUACCACCUAUAAUCGUUUUAAUCGAUGGGGGACGCAGUAGGAUAGGCGAAGCGUGCGAUUGGAUUGCACGUCUAAGCAGUAAGGCUGAGUAUUAGGCAAAUCCGGUACUCGUUAAGGCUGAGCUGUGAUGGGGAGAAGACAUUUAGUCUUCGAGUCGUUGAUUUCACACUGCCGAGAAAAGCCUCUAGAUAGAAAAUAGGUGCCCGUACCGCAAACCGACACAGGUAGUCAAGAUGAGAAUUCUAAGGUGAGCGAGCGAACUCUCGUUAAGGAACUCGGCAAAAUGACCCCGUAACUUCGGGAGAAGGGGUGCUCUUUAGGGUUAACGCCCAGAAGAGCCGCAGUGAAUAGGCCCAAGCGACUGUUUAUCAAAAACACAGGUCUCUGCUAAACCGUAAGGUGAUGUAUAGGGGCUGACGCCUGCCCGGUGCUGGAAGGUUAAGAGGAGUGGUUAGCUUCUGCGAAGCUACGAAUCGAAGCCCCAGUAAACGGCGGCCGUAACUAUAACGGUCCUAAGGUAGCGAAAUUCCUUGUCGGGUAAGUUCCGACCCGCACGAAAGGCGUAACGAUUUGGGCACUGUCUCAACGAGAGACUCGGUGAAAUCAUAGUACCUGUGAAGAUGCAGGUUACCCGCGACAGGACGGAAAGACCCCGUGGAGCUUUACUGUAGCCUGAUAUUGAAAUUCGGCACAGCUUGUACAGGAUAGGUAGGAGCCUUUGAAACGUGAGCGCUAGCUUACGUGGAGGCGCUGGUGGGAUACUACCCUAGCUGUGUUGGCUUUCUAACCCGCACCACUUAUCGUGGUGGGAGACAGUGUCAGGCGGGCAGUUUGACUGGGGCGGUCGCCUCCUAAAAGGUAACGGAGGCGCUCAAAGGUUCCCUCAGAAUGGUUGGAAAUCAUUCAUAGAGUGUAAAGGCAUAAGGGAGCUUGACUGCGAGACCUACAAGUCGAGCAGGGUCGAAAGACGGACUUAGUGAUCCGGUGGUUCCGCAUGGAAGGGCCAUCGCUCAACGGAUAAAAGCUACCCCGGGGAUAACAGGCUUAUCUCCCCCAAGAGUUCACAUCGACGGGGAGGUUUGGCACCUCGAUGUCGGCUCAUCGCAUCCUGGGGCUGUAGUCGGUCCCAAGGGUUGGGCUGUUCGCCCAUUAAAGCGGUACGCGAGCUGGGUUCAGAACGUCGUGAGACAGUUCGGUCCCUAUCCGUCGUGGGCGUAGGAAAUUUGAGAGGAGCUGUCCUUAGUACGAGAGGACCGGGAUGGACAUACCUCUGGUGUACCAGUUGUCGUGCCAACGGCAUAGCUGGGUAGCUAUGUGUGGACGGGAUAAGUGCUGAAAGCAUCUAAGCAUGAAGCCCCCCUCAAGAUGAGAUUUCCCAACUUCGGUUAUAAGAUCCCUCAAAGAUGAUGAGGUUAAUAGGUUCGAGGUGGAAGCAUGGUGACAUGUGGAGCUGACGAAUACUAAUCGAUCGAAGACUUAAUCAA
RNAcentral lists this ribosomal RNA (2922 nucleotides) under Staphylococcus aureus. RNAcentral's name for it is "23S ribosomal RNA". It matches the Rfam family "Bacterial large subunit ribosomal RNA". The record is from RNAcentral. Lineage: Bacteria; Bacillati; Bacillota; Bacilli; Caryophanales; Staphylococcaceae.